Molecule: ribosomal RNA, 245 nt
Filed under: uncultured bacterium
Lineage: Bacteria
Description: partial small subunit ribosomal RNA
Rfam family: Bacterial small subunit ribosomal RNA
Source: RNAcentral
AGAAUCAACGCUGGCGGCGUGCCUAACACAUGCAAGUCGCACGAGAAAGGGACUUCGGUCCUGAGUAAAGUGGCGCACGGGUGAGUAACGCGUGAAUCAUCUACCUCCGAGUGGGGAAUAACCUAGAGAAAUCUGGGCUAAUACCGCAUAACACUUACGAGUCAAAGCAGCAAUGCGCUUGGAGAGGAGUUCGCGGCAGAUUAGUUAGUUGGCGGGGUAAUGGCCCACCAAGACGAUGAUCUGUA